This 205-nucleotide unclassified non-coding RNA is filed under the name Hyptis latent virus. Its description in RNAcentral is "5' trailer RNA". The record is from RNAcentral. Lineage: Riboviria; Orthornavirae; Negarnaviricota; Monjiviricetes; Mononegavirales; Rhabdoviridae.
UUGUUAGUUGGUUGAUAGUUCCUUGUGUAAUAACUGGUUUAAUAAAACUAUAGUAAGUUAUACAGCCCCCCUUGUGUCCUGGGUCUAGAACAGAACGAGUCCAGGAGUCAAAUACUUUAGGAAGCUCGGGUUCAACAGCACUGUCAGAUACGUUAUUGUAUCAAUUCAGUUUCUCAAUGUGUUAAUGUUAAAGGAUAGUUGUCUC